AUGAGUCUAAGAACAAAAAAUUAAAAAAUGAAGUUUUCUAAGAGAUAAGAAUUUGGGCAUUUCCUGUAGAGUCAUAUUUGUAUCCAUUUGUAGAGUUAGGGGUGAUUGCUAACUUUUCAUUCUGUGAUCUAACUAAUUGAUUGUUGCAGAUUAGAAACUUCUUGCUCUAACAGAUUUGGCUUGCUUUUUUUUUUUUCUUGCUGUUGGAUUCACAGUAAUCGCUGGGGCCUUCUGCUAUGAUAUAGUUUUGGAUAAGAGGCUGGAUGAAUGGAUGCCAACAAAAACGAGAACCUUACAGUAUAGCUCUGGCUGCCGUGGAAAUAACUUACAAGAAAAUCAUAUAGGCUUCCUCCUGAAUAUUAACCUUCAUCAGGCGAUGAAAGGAGACAGAGACAGAGACCCACAUUGGAGCACCGGACUGAAAUCUCAAGGUUCAAAUCAGAAGCAGAAGGAGAGAGAGCACAAGCAAGGAACUCAG
Molecule: long non-coding RNA, 478 nt
Organism: Alexandromys fortis (reed vole)
Lineage: Eukaryota; Metazoa; Chordata; Mammalia; Rodentia; Cricetidae
Exons: 3
Source: RefSeq, a predicted model, not a curated record